RNAcentral lists this ribosomal RNA (571 nucleotides) under Alternaria phragmospora. Its description in RNAcentral is "eukaryotic LSU rRNA". It matches the Rfam family "Eukaryotic large subunit ribosomal RNA", at positions 62 to 648 of the family's 3401-position model. The record is from RNAcentral. Lineage: Eukaryota; Fungi; Ascomycota; Dothideomycetes; Pleosporales; Pleosporaceae.
AAACCAACAGGGAUUGCCCUAGUAACGGCGAGUGAAGCGGCAACAGCUCAAAUUUGAAAUCUGGCUCUUUUAGAGUCCGAGUUGUAAUUUGCAGAGGGCGCUUUGGCUUUGGCAGCGGUCCAAGUUCCUUGGAACAGGACGUCACAGAGGGUGAGAAUCCCGUACGUGGUCGCUGGCUAUUGCCGUGUAAAGCCCCUUCGACGAGUCGAGUUGUUUGGGAAUGCAGCUCUAAAUGGGAGGUACAUUUCUUCUAAAGCUAAAUAUUGGCCAGAGACCGAUAGCGCACAAGUAGAGUGAUCGAAAGAUGAAAAGCACUUUGGAAAGAGAGUCAAACAGCACGUGAAAUUGUUGAAAGGGAAGCGCUUGCAGCCAGACUUGCUUGCAGUUGCUCAUCCGGGCUUUUGCCCGGUGCACUCUUCUGUAGGCAGGCCAGCAUCAGUUUGGGCGGUAGGAUAAAGGUCUCUGUCACGUACCUCUCUUCGGGGAGGCCUUAUAGGGGAGGCGACAUACUACCAGCCUGGACUGAGGUCCGCGCAUCUGCUAGGAUGCUGGCGUAAUGGCUGUAAGCGGC